RNAcentral lists this ribosomal RNA (390 nucleotides) under Labyrinthuloides sp. RNAcentral describes it as "partial small subunit ribosomal RNA". It matches the Rfam family "Eukaryotic small subunit ribosomal RNA", at positions 582 to 975 of the family's 1831-position model. Lineage: Eukaryota; Bigyra; Thraustochytrida; Thraustochytriidae. The record is from RNAcentral.
AUUCCAGCUCCAAUAGCGUAUAUUAAAGUUGUUGCAGUUAAAAAGCUCGUAGUUGGAUUUCUGGUAGGAGCGACCGUGCCGAACUUGAUUGUUCGUGUAUUGUGUUGUCUUCAGCCAUCCUCGUGGAGAACUUUUCUAACAUUAACUUGUUGGGAUUGGGACCCGCGUCGUUUACUGUGAAAAAAUUAGAGUGUUUAAAGCAGGCAUUAGCUUGAAUACAUUAGCAUGGAAUAAUAAGAUAGGACUUUUGUCCAUUUGGUUGGUUAUUGGACAUGAGUAAUGAUUAAAAGGGACAGUUGGGGGCAUUAGUAUUUAAUAGUCAGAGGUGAAAUUCUUGGAUUUAUUAAAGACUAACUUAUGCGAAAGCAUUUGCCAAGGAUGUUUUCAUUG